GGGCUCCGGCACCCGGCUGCGGACCAGAUCCCCUGGGCUGCACCCGGCCUUGCGCCCCUGGUCCGCGCUCGCAGGCUCGGAAACGGGCGGUCCUCCCGAGGCUGAAAGGGAAAAAAGGAAAAUGAAGUCCUAUUAAUAUGUUUAUGAUAGGAAGAAUAAUUAGAAAAGUAGAAUAAAAAAACUGAAGCAUGGUGAAAUCACAGUGUGUGAAUAUAUGCAAAGGAUACUCAAAGGUCAAGAAAAGUUCAAGAAUUGUCUCUGCAUGAUAGGGAAAUGCAACUUGCUCUGCCCGACGCCUAGAGUCUCUGGCUGCAGGUCUGGUCCUGGCCCCCUAGGAGGACUUCCCGAGGUCUUAGAUGGAGAGUGGCAGGGACAACCAUGCUUAGGUUGAGGCCUAUGAAAGGAGUGUUUUCAGCAGCAGAGCCACCAAACUAACAAGUCACUGAAUUUUAAAACUCUGGCCACGUGGCUUAGAGGACUCUGGGCAUUGCCCCUUUGCUACCAGCUCCAAAGAUCUGGGAAGAUCUCAUUUGGAUUAGUGACCACGGUUUGUGGGAAUCUUCGCAACCCAAAAAAGGCUGUUUAAAACAGGGGAAACACUGAGCUCUGGAAAUGGUUUAUUUGGCCAUCAGAAUUUUUUUUUUUUUUAAUGACCACCAUUUAAAAAUUCUUUUCAUAAAGUCCCAAAUUUUGGGGUUCCCUGGUGGUCUAGGGGUUAGGAUUUUGCACUUUUCAUUGCUGUGACCCAGGUUCAGUCCCUGGUCUGGAAACUUCCACAAGACAUGGGCAUGGCCACAAUUUUAAAAAAUAAAGUAGGGAGUUCCCAUUGUAGCUCAGUGGGAUAAGAAGUGACUAGUAUUCAUGAGGAUGUGGGUUGGGUCCCUGGCCUCGCUCAGUGGGUUGCUGUGAGCUGUGGUGUAGGUCACAGACAAGACUCGGAUCUUGCAUUGCUAUGGCCGUGGUGUAGGCUGCCAGCUGCAGCUCCAAUUUGACCCCUAGCCGAGGAACUUCCAUUUGCCCAGGUGUGGCCCUUAAAAAAAAUAAUAAUAAUAAAUUAAAUUAAAUUAAAAUCCCAAGUUUUUUUCAUUUUCCCGAAAAAUUUAGACUAUGACAACCCCAAAACCCUCAUUCUGACAAAACAAUACUGGACCGGGUCCCCAGGAGCGUGUUUGGUCUCAGGGUGGGACAUGAGCCGUGGUCCUGACAGCAGCGCUCACAUAGUAACUGGCCUGAGACUGGUGAGGAUGGGAAUUUUCCACCAGGGGUCAAGGGUCUCCCGGGAAAAGUCAGGGCUCUCUGGGCAGGUUUUCUUCAACCAAGCAGCCUCUGGGUACUGUGGGCAGUGGGCAGGAGUGGAUGAAGGAAGAAGAUGAACUCCACCUCAAGGAAAUGCAAACUCCUAACCCUGACGAGCCAAGCCCCAGGCACCCAGGCUUGAGACACUGUGACCCACCGUGACCCACCACCCAGAGAAACAGAAGCCUUGGCCGAGAAGCCUGCACAGAGCCUGGUCACGUGUCCAGAGCUGGCAUGAAGACCAGGGAAUGGCGGGGGCGGGAGAGAAGAAUGUGUCCUGUGUCCCUCUGUCCUUCCACUGGGCCUGACAAGAAAGAAAACAAACCCCAACUCUCACUCGGAAGAAACGAAACUCCCACCCGCCCCUGCAGCCUAACUCCCCACGGACCAAAUGCUAGCUGAGUGGGUGUCAGCCGCAGCCGCGCAUCUGUUCUAACAUUUGCACUGCAGCCAGUGACACCGGAAUUUCGGGGCGGAGGAGGGGGAGCGUCUAAGCCUCCGUAGGUUUCAAGUGUGAUUCCCGUGGGGUGAGAACCAGUGCACCGGAGCCCUGCUUCUCUGCCUUGAACCAUGCCCCUGACUCACUGGGGAGCCGGUCAAAAAUGCAGAACCUGAGUGGUAGGCGGUCCAAGGUCCGCCGUGGAGCCUGAGCUCCUGCCCUUCACCAAGUUCAGAGGCGCAGCCCGUGCUGCAGAUCCCCGGCCACACUUUGAGUGACAAGAAACUACAGCCUCUUCCUCUGUCAUUCUCUUUUCAAGUACUUUAGCAGGGAUGACCCCAGGUCAGUCACCUCUAAACCUAAUAAUAAUAGUAUUCAAAUACUGUAAACUAAGUGUAACAAUAUUGAAUAGUAUUAAAGUACUACAAAGUACUGCAACUAAUUGAUAACAAUAUUAUUCAAGUAUUACAAACCAAGUAAUAACAAUUAAUAAUAGCUAGACUUGGAGUUCUCAUCGUGACACAGAGGAAACGAAUCUGAGUAGGAACCAUGAGGUUGUGGGUUCAAUCCCUGGCCCUGAUCAGUGGGUUAAGGAUCUGGUGUUGCUGUGAGCUGUGGUGUAGGUUGUAGACACAGCUCAGAUCUAGUGUAGCUGGGGCUGUGGCGUAGGCUGGCAGCUGUAGCUCCAAUUCAACCCCUAGCCUGGGAACCUCCAUAUGCAGCAGGUGCAGCCCUAAAAAGUAAAAAUAAAAUAAAGGGUUGAAGAUAAGCAAACAACUUAAAAAAAAAGAAUGUCUAGACUUGGUCAUGUGCUUCUUGCUCAACACUGUGCUAAAGUUCUACUUUUUAAAAAAAAUAUUCAGCUAGAUGUGAAAUAGCUUGUUCCUACCUCAAGCUGGUUACCACUCCGAGUCUCUUACUUAUAUUAACUCAGUUAAGCUUCACAACAGCCCUAUUGUUGGAAGUCCCAUUAUUACCACGUCCAGAAUCAACUUGCUGAGGUCAUUUGGUUUAUGAGCAUGGUGGUGGGGUUGGGACACAGGGUAUAAGCUUGUAAUUCUCUGGAAGCUGGGGCCUCUGAGUACUGAAUACUUUGUCACACUAGUAAGUGGCAGAGCUGGGCUUCCAGUUGCCAUCUGAGUCUCUAUAAACAGAGCUCCUGGAGGGAAAAGUCAGUGAUGUAUAUACAUUGUGUGUCAGAGGCCUUGGCAUGUUACAGACACUCAUAAUAUGGUACUCAUGUUUCCUGUCUUUUGAUCUUCCUUCUUUUUAUCGUCCUCCUAGAGUAGUCAGUGUGAACUUUUGACAAGCAGUUGAGGGGGGGCAGUCUUUGUCUAUGUGGGCUGCUAUCACAAAAUAGCAUAAACUGGGCGGCUUAGACAACAUUUUUCUCAGUUCUGGAGGCUGGAAGUCCAAGGUCAGGGUGCCAGGAUGAUCAGGUUCUUGGUGAGGGCUCCUUUCCCGGUUUAUAGACAGCUGCCUUCUUGCUGUCUCCUCACAUGAAGAGAGGAAUCAUCUCUCUUCUUAGAAGGGCAUUAGGAGUUCCCGUCCUGGUGCAGUGGUUAACAAAUCUGACUAGGAACCAUGAGGUUGUGGGUUCGAUCCCUGGCCUUGCUCAGUGGGUUAAGGAUCUGGCGUUGCCGUGAGCUGUGGUGUGCCUUGCAGACAAGGCUUGGAUCCCACGUUGCUGUGGCUCUGGCAUAGGCCGGCGCCUACAGCUCAAAUUCGACCCCUAGCCUGGGAACCUCCAUAUGCUGAGGGAGUGGCCCCCAAAAUAGCAAAAAGACAAAAAAAAAAAAAAAAAAAAAAAAAA
This 3548-nucleotide long non-coding RNA is filed under the name Sus scrofa (pig). RNAcentral describes it as "lncRNA (ENSSSCG00025044711.1)". Lineage: Eukaryota; Metazoa; Chordata; Mammalia; Artiodactyla; Suidae. The record is from RNAcentral.